Molecule: ribosomal RNA, 468 nt
Filed under: uncultured bacterium
Lineage: Bacteria
Description: partial 16S ribosomal RNA
Rfam family: Bacterial small subunit ribosomal RNA
Source: RNAcentral
GACGAACGCUGGCGGCGUGCUUAACACAUGCAAGUCGAACGGAAAGGCCCUGCUUUUGUGGGGUGCUCGAGUGGCGAACGGGUGAGUAACACGUGAGUAACCUGCCCUUGACUUUGGGAUAACUUCAAGAAACUGGGGCUAAUACCGGAUAGCAGCUCCUGCUGCAUGGUGGGGGUUGGAAAGUUUCGGCGGUUGGGGAUGGACUCGCGGCUUAUCAGCUUGUUGGUGGGGUAGUGGCUUACCAAGGCUUUGACGGGUAGCCGGCCUGAGAGGGUGACCGGCCACAUUGGGACUGUGAUACGGCCCAGACUCCUACGGGAGGCAGCAGUGGGGAAUAUUGCACAAUGGGCGGAAGCCUGAUGCAGCAACGCCGCGUGCGGGAUGACGGCCUUCGGGUUGUAAACCGCUUUCGCCUGUGACGAAGCGUGAGUGACGGUAAUGGGUAAAGAAGCACCGGCUAACUACGUG